UACGUAGGGUGCGAGCGUUGUCCGGAAUUAUUGGGCGUAAAGAGCUUGUAGGCGGUUUGUCGCGUCUGCUGUGAAAAUCCGGGGCUCAACCCCGGACUUGCAGUGGGUACGGGCAGACUGGAGUGUGGUAGGGGAGACUGGAAUUCCUGGUGUAGCGGUGAAAUGCGCAGAUAUCAGGAGGAACACCGGUGGCGAAGGCGGGUCUCUGGGCCGUAACUGACGCUGAGGAGCGAAAGCAUGGGGAGCGAACAGG
Molecule: ribosomal RNA, 253 nt
Filed under: uncultured bacterium
Lineage: Bacteria
Description: partial 16S ribosomal RNA
Rfam family: Bacterial small subunit ribosomal RNA
Source: RNAcentral